Molecule: unclassified non-coding RNA, 2066 nt
Filed under: Hevea brasiliensis (rubber tree)
Lineage: Eukaryota; Viridiplantae; Streptophyta; Magnoliopsida; Malpighiales; Euphorbiaceae
Source: RNAcentral
AGUUAAAAAAAGAAAAAAAAAACUCUGGAAAAGUGUCUUGAUAAAGGACAAAAUAGCAACUAUUUUAUUAGCACAUUAAUUAGCAUGUGAUCUUCAAUUUUGUUAUGAGUGGAAUUUGUCUAGCAGAGCUAAAUGAUGAAAAAUGAUCCAUAUAUCCGACCCCAACUAGUUUGGGAUUAGGGCUUAGUUGUUUUUGUUAUAUUCACUAAUCUAAUGUUUAGUAAUUUAUAAGAAAAUUGCAAAUUCUUUUUCUCGUCUAACAAACUUAUCAAACUACAUAUUAGUGGGUAAAAGUAUUAAAAAACAAUGAUUGCUCAACUCUUAAAGCACUCAUUGAACAGCCUUCUUUGACUAUUUAUGAAUCUUUUACACACACAUUUUAAAGGAUAGUGAUAUUGCCAAACUUUAGGUAUAGUGCAAGGAUAUUUUGGAUAUUUGAAUUGACAAAAGUACCACAUUGUCACGGGUCUAGUAUCAACACUCAUUUGGGACUGUAUCCCUAUGGUACUAAGCUUGAACUUUUUGAAGGCAAGUCAGCCAAGUUAAUCUCACAAUAAUAUGUGGAUCAAAAUGAGUAUAUUAGUAUGUGCCUUUGGCAAGCCAAUUGGGAAAUACUUUACAAGCAUUGCAUAUAAGCAAACAUCACAAUAUAAUAAGCACGCCAAAUAAGGAGGUAAGAAUAUUCAAUGAGUGGUUUACUUCAGUUAUUCAUAUAGUAUAAUUAAUACAAUGGGACAGAUAAUCCUCACAUCACUUGUAGGCAGGGGGAAAACCUACAAGGAGUAAAGGGACAGAGACUCGAUAGAUUUGGUGGCUAGCUGGGCGUAACAAUGGCUAACUAGUCAUUUCCCCUAAAGAGCGUUAGGGAUAUAAUUGGAUGCAAUAGAAAGAGAUAUCACUAUGCUUAAGUCAUCACACUCCUAAAAUUACAUAUAUAGAAAUAAAUACAAAUACAUGGAUAUUCCCUUAUUUAGUCCCUAAAAUUUAUAUUUUACUACUCAAAUUUUCUACCUCUUGACAUUCUCCCCAUUCAAACGGUCGAUGUCCCUGUCGACUGAUCUUGUAAUAACUUCUCAGUCUUUUUUGUGUAUGUGGUUGUAGAAUACGCGAUGAAAUACUGCAUCAUUAAAAAUCCUCACUAAGAAAAACCCAAUGAAAAAACCUUAAAGAAGAAAAAAAGAGUGCAGUGCGUAUUUAUAAAACUGUGCUUGUAAGAACUCUUCAAUCUUCUGCUUGUAUGGUUGGAGGUCUAUUUCCUUCUCCCAAUUAGUUUCUUCUGCACUCAAACCCUUUCAUUUGACAAAGUACUUCUUAUACGGCUAACGCUUGGUGAUUUUGACAACACGCUCUGCCAACAUCUCUUUUAUUCCUUGGUUGAUUGAUAGUGUGUGAGUGAAAGAUGAUCUGGAAGAUCUGUUGCGGUUGGGAUCUAUCUCAUCUGCAUGAUAUGAGUUCAAUCUGCUGAUAUGGAAAACUGGGUGAAUCUUCAUCUAUUCUGGUGGUUCCACUCUAUAAGCAACUUGGCCAACUCUAGCAAUUAGUGUUGACCUUUUGUACUUACGAACUAGUCUUUUGUUUCGAUUGCGAAGGAAUCGGAGAUGAUCUGGUAGCAACUUCAUCAUGCCUAGUUCUUCAAUUGCAAAUUCUUGUAGCCUUCAAUUCUUGUCUGCCCAUUUCAUGAUGUGUUUGGAUGAUUUUUCUAAUUGAGCUCUUGCAAUUUCUGCAUUUUGCUUUCACUUAUUUGUGAAGUGGUAUGCUUUGGGAUUUCUACUUGUGUAAGGACCAUCCAAAAUAUGAGGUGCUAAAGGCUGUUAGCCUGUAACAAUAUCAAAAGGACUUUUGUUAAUAGUAGAGCUCUUUAAAGAAUUAAAACAAAAUUGUGCCACAAGUAUUCCUCUGGCAGCCCAUUAAAUCUCUCUGUUUGGUCAUCUAUUUGAGGAUGAAAACUUGUUGAAACAUCUAGCCUAGAGCCUGAAAGGCAGAACAGUUCUGACCAUAAUGAUCCUACAAUUUUGUUUUAAUUCUUUGAAAAGCUCUUCUAUUAAUAAAAGUCCUUUUGAGAUUGU